UACGUAGGGUGCAAGCGUUAAUCGGAAUUACUGGGCGUAAAGCGUGCGCAGGCGGUUAUGUAAGACAGAUGUGAAAUCCCCGGGCUCAACCUGGGAACUGCAUUUGUGACUGCACGGCUAGAGUGUGUCAGAGGGGGGGUAGAAUUCCACGUGUAGCAGUGAAAUGCGUAGAGAUGUGGAGGAAUACCGAUGGCGAAGGCAGCCCCCCUGGGAUAACACUGACGCUCAUGCACGAAAGCGUGGGGAGCAAACAGG
RNAcentral lists this ribosomal RNA (255 nucleotides) under uncultured bacterium. RNAcentral's name for it is "partial 16S ribosomal RNA". It matches the Rfam family "Bacterial small subunit ribosomal RNA", at positions 524 to 776 of the family's 1533-position model. The record is from RNAcentral.